AUUACUUUUCUUAUCCUUUCCUUUUCUGUAACCUUACAACGUUGAAAAUGAUUGCUCAUUUGGGUAUUCAGAUGUCCAGGAGGAACUUGGCUCAAAGAAGCGGGCUAGAGCUGAGUCUUGUGCUCCAUCGAGGUCCAAAGCAAGAAGGGAGAAGAUGAAUGACAAGUGCGACCACAUUCUUUAUUCCUCUCAAAGAAGAAAUGAUAAUCCUCUUUUUUUUUUUUUUUUUUUUGCAUAUCUACUUUGGCUUACUAAUUCUUUAAAGAUUGUACUCUACAAAUGCAGGACUUGCAAUUCUUUGGCGAUUGUCACUAAUUUUUUGGCUUACUACUGGAUUACUGCAUUUAAAAAAAUAAAUAAAUAAAUAAAAAGGGACUUGCAAUUGUUGAGAGCAAUGAGGGCUGGGGUGAGGAGCACAUGACACUAAAACUUGGUACAAGAACAUACUGAAAUAUCAUUAAUUUCAAUAUGAAUUAGAUGAAGAGAAGUUGAUUAUGUUUUCAAUAGCAUGCUUUCAUUUUUUACAUUAUGUAUUCAAGUGUAUAGGUGAAUAUUGUCAUGCUUCACAUUAUGUAUUCAAAAAUUUGUAAUGAAAUUAUCAAUUUUUGUGCAA
Olea europaea var. sylvestris is the source of this 613-nucleotide long non-coding RNA. RefSeq lists it as uncharacterized. NCBI's taxonomy places the organism in Eukaryota, Viridiplantae, Streptophyta, Magnoliopsida, Lamiales, Oleaceae. The transcript has 2 exons. The record is from RefSeq and is a predicted model, not a curated record.